Molecule: transfer RNA, 73 nt
Filed under: Bos taurus (domestic cattle)
Lineage: Eukaryota; Metazoa; Chordata; Mammalia; Artiodactyla; Bovidae
Also listed under: 2 other names
Rfam family: tRNA
About the family: Transfer RNA (tRNA) molecules are approximately 80 nucleotides in length. Their secondary structure includes four short double-helical elements and three loops (D, anti-codon, and T loops).
Source: Rfam by way of RNAcentral
UCCUUGGUAGUCCAGUGGCUAAGACUCUGCACUCCUAAUGCAGAGGGCCUGGGUUCGAUCCUUGGUCAGAGAA